UUUAAAGUCUAACCUGCCCAAUGAGGAUUUGAAUGGCCGCGGUAUUUUGACCGUGCAAAGGUAGCAUAAUCAUUAGUUUUUUAAUUGAAAGCUGGUAUGAACGGUUGGACGAGAAAAUAGCUGUCUCAGUUUAAUUGAAUUAGAAUUUUAUUUAUAAGUAAAAAAGCUUAUAUAAGUUUAAAAGACGAGAAGACCCUAUAGAGUUUUAUAUUUAUUUAUAUGUAUUAUUUUUAGUAUAUUUGGGUUGUAUAUAUAAGUAAGUAUUUUAUUGGGGCGAUAGAAAAAUUGAUUUAACUUUUUAUAUAUUAGUACAUUGAUUUAUGAGUAAAUGAUCCAAUUAUUUUGAUUACAAGAUUAAAUUACCUUAGGGAUAACAGCGUAAUUUUUUUUUAGAGUUCUUAUCGAAAAAAGAGUUUGCGACCUCGAUGUUGGAUUAAAAUUAACUUUUGGUGCAGGAGCUAAAAGGUUAGGUCUGUUCGACCUUUAAAAUUUUACAUGAUCUGAGUUUAAACCGGCGUGAGCCAGGUUGGUUUCUAUCUUUAAAUAAAGUAAGUAUUUUAGUACGAAAGGAUUAGAUACUUAUAAUAAUUAUUAUAUAUUGAAUAUUAAUA
This 611-nucleotide ribosomal RNA is filed under the name Adoretus sp. BM677767. RNAcentral's name for it is "partial 16S ribosomal RNA". It matches the Rfam family "Bacterial large subunit ribosomal RNA", at positions 1844 to 2766 of the family's 2925-position model. RNAcentral also lists the same sequence under 1 other name. The record is from RNAcentral. Lineage: Eukaryota; Metazoa; Arthropoda; Insecta; Coleoptera; Scarabaeidae.